Long non-coding RNA from Salvia splendens (bonfire salvia), 1154 nucleotides. RefSeq lists it as uncharacterized. Lineage: Eukaryota; Viridiplantae; Streptophyta; Magnoliopsida; Lamiales; Lamiaceae. The transcript has 2 exons. The record is from RefSeq and is a predicted model, not a curated record.
AAUCAGUACCUUCCAGAAGCACCUCCAUUCCUCUACAACUUUCACUGUCAGCAGAAAUAGUGGGAGAGGAAUCGACGGAGGGGAGUCCGGGCAUGAGGAGGGCAAAAACGAUCUCAUCCAUCUCUAACCUCUCAUUUUCUUGAAAACUCUCUUCCCGGCGCCACUUUCUCCGGGGAGCUCGCAUACAUUAGUAGCUCUCUACACCACAGUGGAGGAGUAGCUGAUCCGAGUCAGUUGAAUAACGACGAGAAGAAAGUUCAGUGGAGUUCUUUCUAUGUUUGUUCUAGCCCACUAAUGGAGUUCCAUUUUAAUGACGGAGAUUAGAUUUAUUCCGAAUGGGGGAGUGACGCACAAGGGUUAUGCGUCGUUAUUAAUGAAACGCGCAACCCUUAUGCGUCUUUGGUUAAUGACGCACAAGGGUUAUGCGUCGUUCAAAGACGCAUAAGCAUUAUGCGUCUUACCCUAAUGACGCAUAACCCUUAUGCGUAACGCUGGUAAGCAUUCCUGCCUGUCGUGCGGGUGACCCGGGUUCGAUCCCCAGCAACGGCGCAUUUUUUUUAAGUGAUUAGUAUUUGAUAAAAAUGAGUUAUUCUAAACAUUUGUUUUUGGCAAAUAGAUAUUACUCUUAUAAAAGAAUUAAUUAAAGAAGUUAAUUGGAAUUAUUUUACGAAUUUGAUAGACACUUCGCAUAAGCUUCUUUUGUUACAAAUAUUUCUCAAAUAAUUUCAUUUGUAUAAUGACUUCGUAUUGAUAUUCCACCCUGAUUUGGCGUAUUGAAGAAAAUGCAAAUGAAGACGUAUGGGGUUGUAUCUAUCUUCUACUAACAAGGAGCUGAAGGAGCUGGAGAGGGGAUAUGAGGGUUUGUUGGAAGAUAAUUGUAGGGGUUUUGCAAGGUAUUUUAAGCAAGUGCUGAGAAGAGGUAAUGGAGAGGAGAUGAUUUUGCCACCUAAAAUAGUAUUUCGUGAAUGUGAAAGUGAUGAUCGUUUAACUUCGUGGGAUGGAGAUGAUGAACAGAGGAUCAAAAGCCAUGGAUUUCAGUCUCCAAACAGACGUUUAAUGUAAUGCUUUGUUUCUUUUUUUUUCUUUCAUGCAAAAUUUAUCUUACAAAAGUGGAUAAGAAAAAAAAAGUAUAAUUUUUUAAUCAUAUUUAACUA